UUUGAUUUAGCUCAGUGGUAGAGCGCUUGCCUAGCAAGCGCAAAGCCCUGGGUUCGGUCCCCAGCUCCGAAA
Molecule: non-coding RNA, 72 nt
Organism: Rattus norvegicus (Norway rat)
Lineage: Eukaryota; Metazoa; Chordata; Mammalia; Rodentia; Muridae
Source: Rfam